This 726-nucleotide non-coding RNA is filed under the name Eurypyga helias (sunbittern). RNAcentral's name for it is "Eukaryotic small subunit ribosomal RNA". It matches the Rfam family "Eukaryotic small subunit ribosomal RNA", at positions 1 to 1088 of the family's 1831-position model. The record is from Rfam by way of RNAcentral. Lineage: Eukaryota; Metazoa; Chordata; Aves; Eurypygiformes; Eurypygidae.
GACUUGCUCUGUUAUGGCAAAGACAGACCUUAAUGUUUUACUGAAGACUCACUCCUCAGUCACAUAUGAAUACUAUAUAAAUUAAAUAUUUUUGUAUAUGUAAAACUGUUGUUUCCAGUGGUGUUUGUUUGAAAUCGUGGCUGCUGUUGGGUGUGUAAAACUUGGAGAGCAAGUCUGGUGCCAGCAGCUGCGGUAAUUCCAGCUCCAAUAGCGUAUCUUAAAGUUGCUGCGGUUAAAAAGCUCGUAGUUGGAUCUUGGGAUCAAGCUGGUGGUCUGCUGUGAGACGAGCCACUGCCUGUCCCAGCCCCUGCCUCUUGGCACCCCCUUGAUGCUCUUAGCUGAGUGUCCUGCAGGGCCUGAAGCGUUUACUUUGAGAAAAUUUGAGUGUUCAAAGCAGGCCGGCUGCUGGCAUACUGCAGCUAGGAAUAAUGGAAUAGGACUCCGGUUCGAUUUUGCUGGUUUUUGGAAACAGGGCCAUGAUUAAGAGGGAUGGCUGGGGGCAUUCAUAUUGUGCUGCUAGAGGUGAAAUUCUUGGACCAGUGCAAGCUGGCCUAGAGCAAAAGCAUUUGCCAAGAAUGUUUUCAUUAAUCAAGAACUAAAGAAAAAAAAAACUAUGUCCCUUGAACUGCUAGGUUUCAUUCCUUGGUGGGGCAGUUGUAGCUCCCUUGGCAUCAGCUACCUGUAGGCAGAGCAGCUCUGUGACAGCACAGCCUCCCUCCAUCAAGC